This 1473-nucleotide ribosomal RNA is filed under the name metagenome. Its description in RNAcentral is "bacterial SSU rRNA". It matches the Rfam family "Bacterial small subunit ribosomal RNA". The record is from RNAcentral.
AGAGUUUGAUCCUGGCUCAGAACGAACGCUGGCGGUAUGCUUAACACAUGCAAGUCGUACGCGAAAGCUCCUUCGGGGGUGAUUAGAGUGGCGCACGGGUGGGUAACGCGUAGAUAACCUACCCCUUAACCUGGGAUAACCUUCCGAAAGGAGGGCUAAUACCGGAUAAUACUUUUAAGCGAGUGCUUUUAAGUUAAAAGAUUUAUCAUUAAGGGAUGGGUCUGCGUACCAUUAGCUGGUUGGUGGGGUAAUGGCCUACCAAGGCAACGAUGGUUAGCGGGUUUGAGAGGAUGAUCCGCCACACUGGAACUGAGACACGGUCCAGACUCCUACGGGAGGCAGCAGUGGGGAAUUUUGCGCAAUGGGGGAAACCCUGACGCAGCAAUACCGCGUGAGUGAAGAAGGCCCUUGGGUCGUAAAGCUCUUUUAUUAGGGAAGAUAGUGACGGUACCUAAUGAAUAAGCACCGGCUAACUCCGUGCCAGCAGCCGCGGUAAUACGGAGGGUGCAAGCGUUGUUCGGAUUCACUGGGCGUAAAGGGUGCGUAGGCGGCAUUAUAAGUUAAGGGUGAAAUCCCGGGGCUCAACCCCGGAACUGCUCUUAAAACUGUAGAGCUAGAGAUAGUCAGAGGUGGGUAGAAUUCCUAGUUAGAGGUGAAAUUCGUAGAUAUUAGGAGGAAUACCGGCGGCGAAGGCGGCCCACUGGGGCUUAUCUGACGCUAAGGCACGAAAGCGUGGGGAGCAAACGGGAUUAGAUACCCCGGUAGUCCACGCCGUAAACGAUGAAUACCAGCUGUUUGAAAAAUCGACCUUUCAAGUAGCGCAGCUAACGCGAUGAGUAUUCCGCCUGGGAAGUACGGUCGCAAGACUAAAACUCAAAGGAAUUGACGGGGGCCCGCACAAGCGGUGGAGCAUGUGGUUUAAUUCGACGCAACGCGCAGAACCUUACCUGGGUUUGACAUCUCCGGACCGCCAUAGAGAUAUGGUUUUCCCUUCGGGGGCCGGAUGACAGGUGCUGCAUGGCUGUCGUCAGCUCGUGUCGUGAGAUGUUGGGUUAAGUCCCGCAACGAGCGCAACCCUUGCCCUUAGUUGCCAUCAGGUUAUGCUGGGAACUCUAAGGGGACUGCCGGUGUUAAGCCGGAGGAAGGUGGGGAUGACGUCAAGUCCUCAUGGCCUUUAUAUCCAGGGCUACACACGUGCUACAAUGGUGACUACAAUGAGCAGCCAGACCGCAAGGUUCAGCGAAUCUCAAAAAAGUCAUCUCAGUUCGGAUCGCAGUCUGCAACUCGACUGCGUGAAGUUGGAAUCGCUAGUAAUCGUAGAUCAGCGUGCUACGGUGAAUACGUUCCCGGGCCUUGUACACACCGCCCGUCACACCAUGGGAGUUGAUAUUGGCAGAAUACAUUGAGCUAACUCGUAAGAGGGGCAGGUGUAGAAGCUAGUGUCGAUGACUAGGGUGAAGUCGAAACAAGGUA